Molecule: unclassified non-coding RNA, 224 nt
Filed under: Hevea brasiliensis (rubber tree)
Lineage: Eukaryota; Viridiplantae; Streptophyta; Magnoliopsida; Malpighiales; Euphorbiaceae
Source: RNAcentral
GUUGCACUUGUCAUCUUCACAAUCUAUUUAAUAUAUUAUUAGCCUGCAUAAUUUCAUUUCUACACGAUGAACACAAGGCUAUAAUUUUGAUUUCUGGAUUUCAAGAAAACUGAGGGAUGGUUAUUAUCUUUGUUAAAUGUAUUGACUACUGUGCAUUUGGCGUAUUUUUUUGUAUGCUUUAUGCUCUAUGCAUUUUUAAGUGGUUUAUAUGGGCUCCUGGAGGC